Molecule: ribosomal RNA, 512 nt
Filed under: uncultured bacterium
Lineage: Bacteria
Description: partial 16S ribosomal RNA
Rfam family: Bacterial small subunit ribosomal RNA
Source: RNAcentral
GAUGAACGCUGGCGGCGUGCCUAAUACAUACAAGUCGAACGAAACUUCUUUAUCACCGAGUGCUUGCACUCACCGAUAAAGAGUUGAGUGGCGAACGGGUGAGUAACACGUGGGCAACCUGCCCAAAAGAGGGGGAUAACACUUGGAAACAGGUGCUAAUACCGCAUAACCAUAGUUACCGCAUGGUAACUAUGUAAAAGGUGGCUAUACUACCGCUUUUGGAUGGGCCCGCGGCGCAUUAGCUAGUUGGUAGGGUAAAGGCUUACCAAGGCAAUGAUGCGUAGCCGAAUUGAGAGGUUGAUCGGCCACAUUGGGACUGAGACACGGCCCAAACUCCUACGGGAGGCAGCAGUAGGGAAUCUUCCACAAUGGGCGAAAGCCUGAUGGAGCAACGCCGCGUGGGUGAAGAAGGUCUUCGGAUCGUAAAACCCUGUUGUUAGAGAAGAAAGUGCGUGAGAGUAACUGUUCACGUUUCGACGGUAUCUAACCAGAAAGCCACGGCUAACUACGUG